AGAGUUUGAUCAUGGCUCAGAACGAACGCUGGCGGCGUGCCUAACACAUGCAAGUCGAACGUGAAAGGGCUUCGGCCUGAGUAAAGUGGCGCACGGGUGAGUAACGCGUGGGUAAUCUGCCUCCGGGCGGGGGAUAACGGGUCGAAAGACCCGCUAAUACCGCAUGAGACCACGACCUCGAGGGGUUGUGGGAAAAGAUGGGGAUCUUCGGACCUGUCACCUGGAGAUGAGCCCGCGUACCAUUAGGUAGUUGGUGGGGUAAUGGCCCACCAAGCCGAAGAUGGUUAGCUGGUCUGAGAGGAUGAUCAGCCACACUGGAACUGAGACACGGUCCAGACUCCUACGGGAGGCAGCAGUGGGGAAUAUUGCGCAAUGGGGGAAACCCUGACGCAGCAACGCCGCGUGUGUGAUGAAGGCCUUCGGGUCGUAAAGCACUGUGAGGUGGAACGAGCCGCCGGGGGUUAAUACCCCUCGGCCCGACGGUACCACCAGAGGAAGCACCGGCUAACCCUGUGCCAGCAGCCGCGGUAAUACAGGGGGUGCAAGCGUUGUUCGGAAUUAUUGGGCGUAAAGCGCGUGUAGGCGGGCCACUAAGUCUGGUGUGAAAUCCCUCGGCUUAACCGAGGACGUGCAUUGGAUACUGGUGGCCUUGAGUCCUGGAGAGGGUAGCGGAAUUCCCAGUGUAGAGGUGAAAUUCGUAGAUAUUGGGAGGAACACCGGUGGCGAAGGC
RNAcentral lists this ribosomal RNA (730 nucleotides) under uncultured bacterium. Its description in RNAcentral is "bacterial SSU rRNA". It matches the Rfam family "Bacterial small subunit ribosomal RNA", at positions 8 to 722 of the family's 1533-position model. The record is from RNAcentral.